This 200-nucleotide unclassified non-coding RNA is filed under the name soil metagenome. RNAcentral describes it as "partial contains internal transcribed spacer 2 and large subunit ribosomal RNA". The record is from RNAcentral.
CAUGGCACGGCCUCUUGACGUGAUAAUGAUCGUCGUGGGCUGGAAGUGUAGUGUCUGGCUUCUAAUCCGAUUGUGUGCAUACGGCCCUUAAAGCUGGAAGCGCAAUCAAAACCGACUACGUGCAUACGGCCCAUAAAGCUGGAAGCGUAAUCAAAAUGACCUUUGACCUCAAAUCAGGUAGGACUACCCGCUGAACUUAA